RNAcentral lists this ribosomal RNA (253 nucleotides) under uncultured bacterium. Its description in RNAcentral is "partial 16S ribosomal RNA". It matches the Rfam family "Bacterial small subunit ribosomal RNA", at positions 524 to 776 of the family's 1533-position model. The record is from RNAcentral.
UACGUAGGUGGCGAGCGUUGUCCGGAUUUACUGGGCGUAAAGGGAGCGUAGGCGGACUUUUAAGUGAGAUGUGAAAUACUCGGGCUCAACUUGAGUGCUGCUUUUCAAACUGGAAGUCUAGAGUGCAGGAGAGGAGAAUGGAAUUCCUAGUGUAGCGGUGAAAUGCGUAGAGAUUAGGAAGAACACCAGUGGCGAAGGCGGUUCUCUGGACUGUAACUGACGCUGAGGCUCGAAAGCGUGGGGAGCAAACAGG